Vigna radiata var. radiata (mung bean) is the source of this 173-nucleotide long non-coding RNA. RefSeq lists it as uncharacterized. The record is from RefSeq and is a predicted model, not a curated record. NCBI's taxonomy places the organism in Eukaryota, Viridiplantae, Streptophyta, Magnoliopsida, Fabales, Fabaceae. The transcript is spliced from 3 exons.
UCUAAACUGAAUGUGCAGGGAUUUAGGAAAUUGAAGUAUGUUGACUUUUCAACGUCUUAUUCAAUCACUGGUAACUUCUUAAGAAACCUUGGAAGCUGCAAUGGGGUAAAUUUUCUUGAGGUCUUAAUUUUAAGGGAUUGCAUGCAUCUCAAAGAGAUGGAAGUCGUGAGGCU